UAACGUCUCAAGACCAAAGAGGGGGACCUUCGGGCCUCUUGCCAUCGGAUGUGCCCAGAUGGGAUUAGCUAGUAGGUGGGGUAACGGCUCACCUAGGCGACGAUCCCUAGCUGGUCUGAGAGGAUGACCAGCCACACUGGAACUGAGACACGGUCCAGACUCCUACGGGAGGCAGCAGUGGGGAAUAUUGCACAAUGGGCGCAAGCCUGAUGCAGCCAUGCCGCGUGUAUGAAGAAGGCCUUC
RNAcentral lists this ribosomal RNA (243 nucleotides) under Enterobacter sp. Its description in RNAcentral is "partial 16S ribosomal RNA". It matches the Rfam family "Bacterial small subunit ribosomal RNA", at positions 173 to 419 of the family's 1533-position model. The record is from RNAcentral. Lineage: Bacteria; Pseudomonadati; Pseudomonadota; Gammaproteobacteria; Enterobacterales; Enterobacteriaceae. RNAcentral also lists the same sequence under 1 other name.